Molecule: ribosomal RNA, 400 nt
Filed under: uncultured bacterium
Lineage: Bacteria
Description: bacterial SSU rRNA
Rfam family: Bacterial small subunit ribosomal RNA
Source: RNAcentral
GAAUCAACGCUGGCGGCGUGCCUAACACAUGCAAGUCGAACGCGGUUACCCCGCAAGGGUGACUGAGUGGCGAACGGGUGAGUAACACGUGGGUGACCUACCUUCGAGUGGGGAGUAACGUCCCGAAAGGGACGCUAAUACCGCAUAACAUCCUGCCUUUGUAACAGGUGGUGAUCAAAGCCGGGGACCGGCAAGGCCCGGCGCUUGAUGAGGGGCCCGCGUCCGAUUAGCUAGUUGGUGAGGUAACGGCUCACCAAGGCAACGAUCGGUAGCCGGCCUGAGAGGGCGGACGGCCACACUGGGACUGAGACACGGCCCAGACUCCUACGGGAGGCAGCAGUGGGGAAUUGUUCGCAAUGGGCGCAAGCCUGAGACGCAACGCCGCGUGGAGGAUGAAGGU